RNAcentral lists this ribosomal RNA (274 nucleotides) under uncultured bacterium. Its description in RNAcentral is "partial 16S ribosomal RNA". It matches the Rfam family "Bacterial small subunit ribosomal RNA", at positions 523 to 796 of the family's 1533-position model. The record is from RNAcentral.
AUACGAAGGAGGCUAGCGUUGUUCGGAAUCACUGGGCGUAAAGCGCACGUAGGUGGAUCAAUUAGUUGAGGGUGAAAUCCCGGGGCUCAACCUCGGAACUGCCUUCAAUACUGUUGAUCUAGAGUCCGAGAGAGGUGAGUGGAAUUCCUAGUGUAGAGGUGAAAUUCGUAGAUAUUAGGAAGAACACCAGUGGCGAAGGCGGCUCACUGGCUCGGUACUGACGCUGAGGUGCGAAAGCGUGGGGAGCAAACAGGAUUAGAUACCCUAGUAGUCC